Molecule: ribosomal RNA, 256 nt
Filed under: uncultured bacterium
Lineage: Bacteria
Description: partial 16S ribosomal RNA
Rfam family: Bacterial small subunit ribosomal RNA
Source: RNAcentral
UACGUAGGGUGCGAGCGUUGUCCGGAAUUAUUGGGCGUAAAGGGCUCGUAGGCGGUGUGUCGCGUCGGCCGUGAAAACCUGCAGCUUAACUGUGGGCGUGCGGUCGAUACGGGCAUCACUGGAGUUCGGCAGGGGAGACUGGAAUUCCUGGUGUAGCGGUGAAAUGCGCAGAUAUCAGGAGGAACACCGGUGGCGAAGGCGGGUCUCUGGGUAGUAACUGACGCUGGAGGAACGAAAUGCGUGGGUAGCGAACAGG